CAGUCGCCACGGUAAUACGAAGGGGGCUAGCGUUGUUCGGAUUAACUGGGCGUAAAGGGCGCGUAGGCGGGUUUUUAAGUCAGAGGUGAAAUCCCAAGGCUCAACCUUGGAACUGCCUUUGAUACUGGAAGUCUUGAGUCCGGGAGAGGUGAGUGGAACUGCGAGUGUAGAGGUGAAAUUCGUAGAUAUUCGCAAGAACACCAGUGGCGAAGGCGGCUCACUGGCCCGGUACUGACGCUGAGGCGCGAAAGCGUGGGGAGCAAACAGGAUUAGAUACCCGCGUAGUCCCUGUCUCUUAUAC
Molecule: ribosomal RNA, 301 nt
Filed under: uncultured bacterium
Lineage: Bacteria
Description: partial 16S ribosomal RNA
Rfam family: Bacterial small subunit ribosomal RNA
Source: RNAcentral